AGUGAACGCUGGCGGUAGGCCUAACACAUGCAAGUCGAACGGCAGCACAGUAAGAGCUUGCUCUUACGGGUGGCGAGUGGCGGACGGGUGAGGAAUACAUCGGAAUCUACUUUUUCGUGGGGGAUAACGUAGGGAAACUUACGCUAAUACCGCAUACGACCUACGGGUGAAAGCAGGGGAUCUUCGGACCUUGCGCGAUUGAAUGAGCCGAUGUCGGAUUAGCUAGUUGGCGGGGUAAAGGCCCACCCAGGCGACGAUCCGUAGCUGGUCUGAGAGGAUGAUCAGCCACACUGGAACUGAGACACGGUCCAGACUCCUACGGGAGGCAGCAGUGGGGAAUAUUGGACAAUGGGCGCAAGCCUGAUCCAGCCAUACCGCGUGGGUGAAGAAGGCCUUCGGGUUGUAAAGCCCUUUUGUUGGGAAAGAAAAGCAGCAGGUUAAUACCACGCUGUUCUGACGGUACCCAAAGAAUAAGCACCGGCUAACUUCGUG
Molecule: ribosomal RNA, 492 nt
Filed under: uncultured bacterium
Lineage: Bacteria
Description: partial 16S ribosomal RNA
Rfam family: Bacterial small subunit ribosomal RNA
Source: RNAcentral